Molecule: transfer RNA, 68 nt
Filed under: Sphaerobolus stellatus SS14
Lineage: Eukaryota; Fungi; Basidiomycota; Agaricomycetes; Geastrales; Sphaerobolaceae
Description: tRNA-Gly
Source: RNAcentral
GCAUUCAUGUAGUGGUAACCUUGGUCGUUGCCAUCGACCAGCCGUGAGUUCGAUUCUCGCUUUGUGCA